Molecule: small RNA, 29 nt
Filed under: Bombyx mori (domestic silkworm)
Lineage: Eukaryota; Metazoa; Arthropoda; Insecta; Lepidoptera; Bombycidae
Description: ovarian small RNA-11810
Source: RNAcentral
AGACACAGACAGUGCAGCGCGGCGCCAGC